RNAcentral lists this ribosomal RNA (201 nucleotides) under uncultured bacterium. RNAcentral describes it as "partial 16S ribosomal RNA". It matches the Rfam family "Bacterial small subunit ribosomal RNA", at positions 524 to 724 of the family's 1533-position model. The record is from RNAcentral.
UACGUAGGGGGCAAGCGUUGUCCGGAUUUAUUGGGCGUAAAGAGCGUGUAGGCGGCCAAGCAGGUCAGCUGUGAAAACUCGAGGCUCAACCUCGAGACGUCGGUUGAAACCGCUUGGCUAGAGUCCGGAAGAGGAGAGUGGAAUUCCCGGUGUAGCGGUGAAAUGCGCAGAUAUCGGGAAGAACACCCGUGGCGAAGGCGG